UGAUUGUGUUUUGCUCUUCUUCAUUCUGAAUUAUAUUAAAGGAUCAGAUGAUCAGAAUUUGAAUCUCAAACCCAGACCAAAAAAAAGGGAAGAAAUUAGAACAACCUAUUUUUAAGCGUUAUUAAUUUUCCCUCAUUCUUCAAUAUUUUUUCCCCCUAUUAAUGAAAUUGUAUUUAUCCUUUACAGGCUCCGGUAGUGAUAGUUCUCAAAUCUCCUCAAGUAGUGUAAAUAGGCCACAACUGGCAAGUCGUCCUCGACUAAAGCGGGUGAACAUCAGAGACUUCCUCUUCCUCCUAGAGCAAGAAAAGGAAACGUGUCAUAGUCAAAUGCUCUUCCAAGCGUAUCUCAAGUGAUGUUGUGUACACAAGUGCUGCGCACCUUUCCCAUUCACUGAGGUACAAAACCAAUGGGGUUUUUGUUUUCUCAACUUUCUUUGUUAUGUCUUCAUAGCACACGUAUGCUACCAUGUGAAGAAACUUCCCAGUCGAACAGUUACGCUAGCCCUAAAGCAGCCAUGCUCAGUGCACAAGAGCGUAAGUUUAUUUGAAGUAACAUUGUUAUGACCUUUUGUCGCGACUGAUUAAUCAUGCCAUGCUUUGAUCUGUUUUCAAUUGCACACCGAUGAAUUUGUUUUCGAAACAGGUUUCACCUCUGUGACCUCUUGUAACGGAAAUAAAUUUCAAGAACGCAGAAGAAAAUUUUAUAUGAAGAGAGCUAGUUAUUUCUACUGACCCGCACUGAGUCUUUUUCCUUGUCGUUGAGUGCGGUAAUAUUAUCAGUAGCAUAUUUUGAAGCCACUUUUACAAAUAACACUAUACAUGAUUUGAUUUCAUGACAUUGCUCAAAAAAUGGUCACCUGAUUCCAAUACAUCCCGUCCCAGAUUUAUUAUGACGUUUUUUGUCUCAUUUGUUGGUCGCUAAAAAUUGGAUUUGUGUGAGGCUCAUUCAAAAAUUCAUUGUUUUAUUUAGGAAAGCCUUUUUACAAAUUAGUCAAAAUUACGAAACGAAAAUUUUCGAGUCUUAGGAUUAAAUUUAAACCAUAGUAUUGAAACUGAGGUAGUGGAAGCAAGUUCCUGAAAUCAUAACUAAUUUCUAAAACCAAAUUUCAAUAACUAACUUUAAGCUCCUGCGUAUGUAGAAUCACAUACAUAAUUUUGUACAUGUUUUACUGUUUGUCCCUUAACUUCUUUAAAAAAAAACUAAAGAAAUAAAUAAAAAGAUAAAAAUAAAUAAAUAAAUAAAUAAAUAAUAAAUAGACAAAAAAAACCCAUCACAAAUCAACAGUUUGUCUCAUUGGAAAAUUAUAGUUUAUCAAUUUUUGCCUCAAAUUAGGCUUUUGCCUCAAGUGUAGUCGUUUGCCUGAUUAUAAUGGAGUGAAGGAAUCAUUUCGGAAAAUGGGAUUAUUACUCUAAUAAUGAAUAAGCCAAAUUAAAUCUAAUUCCUAGUGCUAGUGCGUGUGUCUUGAAAGUGAUCUUUAGUACUCACGUUUACUACUGGCAUAAUGGUUCUUCAUUGUGAUUUUUGCUUAUUUGUCAAACAGUUCUGACUUAUUUUGAAGUAAUGCAGUCACAGAAAUCACAUAAGUUUUGAUUUUGCCAAAAAUGUCAGUACUUUCCCUUCAUGCUAAUAUUUAAAGUUAGGUCGGUGAGCUUAUGAUGGGCUGGAUGUUUGUAAAUACCCGUAACUGUUCUAUUUAGGGUGUUCUUUUUAUGUGCUUGUUUUUAAAUCUCUAGGGGUUUUCUUUUUUGCAUGAAUAUUGGCAGAGAUCUAUUUUAAGCUCUUGUCAAGCUGUUGUUGUAUUUGGUUGAUCUCCUCAGAGUGGCCACUGGUCAGUUAGGAAAGGUUCGAAAGAUUAUUCUUUGAAACAUGUAUUUAUGAAAUGUAAAUAAAUGAAAAAUGGAAAUUUUUAUCAUAAAUGAACCAACGAUGCCUAUUCAAAAAGACAAACAGUUUAAAAACGUGUCAAGGUCAAUAUUACCUAAAUCAUAUGCUGUAAUCAACCAGAAGCUGGAAUUGAAAGAGUAACAAUGAUUUUCUUUUUCUAAAUAUUCAAUAUUUUACUUUUAAAUGAUAUCUGAAACUGCAGAUGAAGUCUUUUCAGAACUUCAGAAAUUUCGGAAAUACCGUUAAAUGUCAGCGUUUGAUCAUUAUGCCAGCAAAAUAUGAUUAUCUUUAUUCAGAGCAUCAGCUGGUUUUUGUUAUGAAUUUAGCUAGGGCUGUAAGAGUCCUCAAAUUUCAAGUCUAGUCAAGCGGAGUUCCACAAUCUCGUCUCGACUUAAAAAAAGAUGUGAUGCUUGAGCAAGUCUUCAACUCACAACUCAAAUGCUGAAGACCACCCACUUUGAGUUGUUUUGAGCUGAAAACGCCACAAUGAAUCAAGGCUGUGCUAAUGAAUCAGUGAGGAGUGAACAAAUCUAUCAUUCUAACAGAAAUAAUGAAUACUUACAUACUGUCGUGAAUUCAGGAUCUGUUUCUUUUGUUCAGAGCAAGCAACAUCAAAGACAAUAAGUACACAACCACAAUGCAAAAACUCGAACUCGAUUCAAACCGAAAAAGAAAACUUGCACAGCCUUAAAUCUAGCCCCAUUGCAGCUUCCAUUAAGUUAAUAAACAAAACCUAUUUGUUGGUUAUGUAUUCCAAGUUUUAACUACAUACGUACACUCGUCAGAAGAUGUAGGUCACAAAAAGCUGCAAGUUCUAUGAUGGACCCAGAAUUUCUCUCUUUGGUGCUCUGAGAAGAAACACAAGUCUUGUGGAGGAGGUGUAACCAGGAGUGAUAAAUUCCCUUUGAGCAAGAACUGCUGCACCAUCUUUGAAGAUCUUGGGGAAUGAAGUGAAUGUUCGGAUAAUGAGAUGUUAUUUGAAAUGAAACACCAUUUCAGAUCCAGAGAUAACUAGCUUGAUGUUAGUAGUUUGAAUCGCCAUUCCUAACUCAACAUGCGGAACAGGUAUCUUUGUUUAGACAAGGGUGCUGAAACUCUUCAACGUUUAAAGAUAUAGGUCGAAUAUCUUGGUUGUAUGUAAU
This 3026-nucleotide long non-coding RNA is filed under the name Bemisia tabaci. RNAcentral describes it as "lncRNA ENSSSA1NGG011374". Lineage: Eukaryota; Metazoa; Arthropoda; Insecta; Hemiptera; Aleyrodidae. The record is from RNAcentral.